Molecule: ribosomal RNA, 243 nt
Filed under: uncultured bacterium
Lineage: Bacteria
Description: partial small subunit ribosomal RNA
Rfam family: Bacterial small subunit ribosomal RNA
Source: RNAcentral
AGAAUCAACGCUGGCGGCGCGCCUAACACAUGCAAGUCGAACGAGAAAGUGGAGCAAUCCAUGAGUAAAGUGGCGUACGGGUGAGUAACACGUGGAUAAUCUGCCCUUUAGUGGGGAAUACCGCUGGGAAACCGGCGACAAUACCGCAUAAGCUCGAGAGAGGAAAGCAGCAAUGCGCUGAAGGAGGAGUCCGCGGUCGAUUAGUUAGUUGGCGGGGUAAAGCCCACAAGACUGUGAUCGAUA